GUCCACGCCCUAAACGAUGUCAACUAGGUGUUGGGGAGGAGACUUCCUUAGUACCGUAGCUAACGCGUGAAGUUGACCGCCUGGGGAGUACGGUCGCAAGAUUAAAACUCAAAGGAAUUGACGGGACCCGCACAAGCGGUGGAUUAUGUGGAUUAAUUCGAUGCAACGCGAAAACCUUACCUACCCUUGACAUGUCAGAAAGAUCGCAGAGAUGUGAUUGUGCCCGAAAGGGAAUCUGAACACAGGUGCUGCAUGGCUGUCGU
RNAcentral lists this ribosomal RNA (263 nucleotides) under uncultured bacterium. RNAcentral's name for it is "partial 16S ribosomal RNA". It matches the Rfam family "Bacterial small subunit ribosomal RNA", at positions 793 to 1055 of the family's 1533-position model. The record is from RNAcentral.